CCCACCUCCCCCGCAAACUGUGGCCCUUAACGGUAGCCCUGAGGGCUGUGGGCAGGUCCUGAGGCUACGCCUGCGAGUGAGCCACAGCCUGGGAACAGAGACUGGGAGGAAAUGGCCCAGCGCGGGAGGAAGAAGCUCCGUGUCUGGAGCGCCAACAUCCCGCGCCUGGGGAGCCUGACCAAGAGGAGGAUCUGCGCGUGGAGGCCCCGGGAACCCCAACAGCAUCGCGCGGCCCCUGCCCUGCGUCCUGGCUGCCUCUCGUGGACCGAGGGUUGGAAGCAGCCGUAGGACCUGACCAUCAGUAUAAAGCUGAGUCUUCGCCACCUACCACCUUGCUCCUUUCUGUCUUAUCUUGAUGCACAAUACUGAAUUCAAGGUAGAAAUUAACUUACUAAUUCAUCCACCAAGAGGAGCUCAUAGAAACUUAUGUAGAAUAUGAUGGAUUCACUGGACAAAAAUAUUGCAUAUGUGUAAACCACAUGUGCAACCAAUAGAUACUGAGAGUGUAUGGCAGUGUGAGAGAGAGUCCAAUUUCUACCUUUCAGAAGCAGAAUAUGUACUGUGUAAUGCUACAGGAUACACCAGGUAGAAGUCUUUAUGUAUUGCUAGUGGGCU
Molecule: long non-coding RNA, 615 nt
Filed under: Fukomys damarensis (Damara mole-rat)
Lineage: Eukaryota; Metazoa; Chordata; Mammalia; Rodentia; Bathyergidae
Description: lncRNA (ENSFDAG00000023586.1)
Source: RNAcentral